RNAcentral lists this ribosomal RNA (229 nucleotides) under uncultured bacterium. RNAcentral describes it as "partial 16S ribosomal RNA". It matches the Rfam family "Bacterial small subunit ribosomal RNA", at positions 568 to 796 of the family's 1533-position model. The record is from RNAcentral.
CGCGUAGGCGGACCAACAAGUCGGAUGUGAAAACUGGCGGCUUAACUGCCAGCCUGCACUCGAAACUGUUGGUCUUGAGUACAGUAGAGGAAAGCGGAAUUCCAGGUGUAGCGGUGAAAUGCGUAGAUAUCUGGAAGAACACCAGUAGCGAAGGCGGCUUUCUGGGCUGAUACUGACGCUGAAGCGCGAAGGCUUGGGUAGCAAACAGGAUUAGAUACCCUGGUAGUCC